Molecule: long non-coding RNA, 152 nt
Organism: Etheostoma spectabile (orangethroat darter)
Lineage: Eukaryota; Metazoa; Chordata; Actinopteri; Perciformes; Percidae
Exons: 2
Source: RefSeq, a predicted model, not a curated record
GGACAAGAUCAAACCGCAGGAAGAGCCACGCCCUAAUCCCCUUGCUCAGACCGGGGACGCGGCAGGAACUCAAUGUGUGAGCAGUAUGGCAGGCGUCAGGCAGAAGCAGCAGAGAGCAUCAGUGCUGCGGCAGGUUCCCCACACAGCUUCCA